RNAcentral lists this ribosomal RNA (279 nucleotides) under uncultured bacterium. RNAcentral describes it as "partial 16S ribosomal RNA". It matches the Rfam family "Bacterial small subunit ribosomal RNA", at positions 506 to 784 of the family's 1533-position model. The record is from RNAcentral.
UGCCAGCAGCCGCGGUAACACGGGGGGCGCAAGCGUUGUCCGGAUUUACUGGGUUUAAAGGGUACGUAGGCGGACUUUUAAGUCCGUGGUGAAAGCCUGCAGCUUAACUGUAGAAUUGCCAUGGAUACUGAAAAUCUUGAGUUCAGUUGAGGUAAGCGGAAUUUAUGAUGUAGCGGUGAAAUGCAUAGAUAUCAUAAAGAACACCUAUUGCGAAGGCAGCUUACUGGACUUGAACUGACGCUAAGGUACGAAAGCGUGGGGAGCGAACAGGAUUAGAUA